This 421-nucleotide ribosomal RNA is filed under the name Biomphalaria glabrata. RNAcentral describes it as "partial 16S ribosomal RNA". The record is from RNAcentral. Lineage: Eukaryota; Metazoa; Mollusca; Gastropoda; Planorbidae.
AGUUUAAGGAAAUAAUCUUAAAUGUAUUCUGCCCAGUGAUUAUUAUUAAAUGGCCGCAGUACCUUGACUGUGCUAAGGUAGCAUAAUCAAUUGGCUUCUAAUUAAAGUCUGGAAUGAAAGGAAAAAUGAAGUAAUUCUGUCUUAAAGAAUUUUUUUUGAAUUUAUUUAAAUGAUGAAAAUAUCAUUUUUUUAGAAAAAAGACGAGAAGACCCUUAGAGUUUUCAAUUUUUUUUUGUUGGGGCGACAAGUAAACAAUUAAACUUUACAAUAAUUAUAAAUCGAUUUUUUAUAAGAAUAAUUAAACUACCUUAGGGAUAACAGCAUUAUAUAUUUUUUUAUGAUUGUGACCUCGAUGUUGGACUAGGAACUUUAUGGCUAGCCGUCAAAAAAGAUUUGUUCUGUUCGAACAAUAUUAUCCUAC